AGAGUUUGAUCAUGGCUCAGAUUGAACGCUGGCGGCAGGCCUAACACAUGCAAGUCGAACGGUAACAGGAAACAGCUUGCUGUUUCGCUGACGAGUGGCGGACGGGUGAGUAAUGUCUGGGAAACUGCCUGAUGGAGGGGGAUAACUACUGGAAACGGUAGCUAAUACCGCAUAACGUCGCAAGACCAAAGAGGGGGACCUUCGGGCCUCUUGCCAUCGGAUGUGCCCAGAUGGGAUUAGCUUGUUGGUGGGGUAACGGCUCACCAAGGCGACGAUCCCUAGCUGGUCUGAGAGGAUGACCAGCCACACUGGAACUGAGACACGGUCCAGACUCCUACGGGAGGCAGCAGUGGGGAAUAUUGCACAAUGGGCGCAAGCCUGAUGCAGCCAUGCCGCGUGUAUGAAGAAGGCCUUCGGGUUGUAAAGUACUUUCAGCGGGGAGGAAGGGAGUAAAGUUAAUACCUUUGCUCAUUGACGUUACCCGCAGAAGAAGCACCGGCUAACUCCGUGCCAGCAGCCGCGGUAAUACGGAGGGUGCAAGCGUUAAUCGGAAUUACUGGGCGUAAAGCGCACGCAGGCGGUUUGUUAAGUCAGAUGUGAAAUCCCCGGGCUCAACCUGGGAACUGCAUCUGAUACUGGCAAGCUUGAGUCUCGUAGAGGGGGGUAGAAUUCCAGGUGUAGCGGUGAAAUGCGUAGAGAUCUGGAGGAAUACCGGUGGCGAAGGCGGCCCCCUGGACGAAGACUGACGCUCAGGUGCGAAAGCGUGGGGAGCAAACAGGAUUAGAUACCCUGGUAGUCCACGCCGUAAACGAUGUCGACUUGGAGGUUGUGCCCUUGAGGCGUGGCUUCCGGAGCUAACGCGUUAAGUCGACCGCCUGGGGAGUACGGCCGCAAGGUUAAAACUCAAAUGAAUUGACGGGGGCCCGCACAAGCGGUGGAGCAUGUGGUUUAAUUCGAUGCAACGCGAAGAACCUUACCUGGUCUUGACAUCCACGGAAGUUUCCAGAGAUGGAAAGGUGCCUUCGGGAACCGUGAGACAGGUGCUGCAUGGCUGUCGUCAGCUCGUGUUGUGAAAUGUUGGGUUAAGUCCCGCAACGAGCGCAACCCUUAUCCUUUGUUGCCAGCG
RNAcentral lists this ribosomal RNA (1126 nucleotides) under Escherichia coli KOEGE 70 (185a). RNAcentral describes it as "bacterial SSU rRNA". It matches the Rfam family "Bacterial small subunit ribosomal RNA", at positions 8 to 1123 of the family's 1533-position model. The record is from RNAcentral. Lineage: Bacteria; Pseudomonadati; Pseudomonadota; Gammaproteobacteria; Enterobacterales; Enterobacteriaceae.